CAGUGGACCCAGACACCGGCAUCAUAGACAGGAAAGAGCCGCUGGAGACCCUGAAGAGCUAUCGCCUGUGUGAUCCUUCUGUGAAGAGUUUAUACCAGUCGUCUCCACUCUUUGGGAUGUAUUUCUCAGUGGAAAAAAUUGGAAGCCUGAGAGUGGGUGACCCUGUGUAUCGGAUGGUGGAUUAGUGGAUCCCGUGGACUGACUCGGUAAAAGUUUCCCUUUGUUUGUAGAACUCGGACUCUUGACAGCAUGGCCACAUCUUCUCAUCUUCUGAUUCUUUAAUAAUUUUAAAAUUACUUUACUAUUUUCUGUGCAUGGAUGUUGUGCUCGCCUGUAUGUGUCCCAUCUGCAUGGCAGUGCCCAAGGAGGCCAGAAGGGGGCCCCCGAUCCUCUGGAAGUGGAACUACAGACAGUUGCGAGCUGCCACGUGGGUGCUGGGAAUCAAACCUGUGUCCUGUGGAAGAACAGCCAGUGCUCUUAACCACUGAGCCGCUCAGUCACAUGCCUGUGUUUGGUUGGUUUGGUUUGGUUUUCGAGACAGGGUUUCUCUGUGUAGCCUUGGCUGUCCUAGAACUUGAUUUGUAGACCAGGCUGGCCUUGAACUCACAGAGAUCUGCCUGCCCCUGCCUCCCAAGUGUUGGGAUUAAAGGUGUACACCAACACCAUCUGGUUCAGAUGCUUUUAAAAGG
Molecule: long non-coding RNA, 689 nt
Filed under: Rattus norvegicus (Norway rat)
Lineage: Eukaryota; Metazoa; Chordata; Mammalia; Rodentia; Muridae
Description: long non-coding RNA NONRATT009092
Source: RNAcentral